Molecule: ribosomal RNA, 561 nt
Filed under: uncultured fungus
Lineage: Eukaryota; Fungi
Description: eukaryotic LSU rRNA
Rfam family: 5.8S ribosomal RNA (bases 202-355)
Source: RNAcentral
UCGUAGGUGACCUGCGGAGGAUCAUUACAAGUGAGGCUACCGAACGUUGGAAACAGCGGUUAGGAGCUUACACCCACCCGUGUUUACAUACUAUUGUUGCUUUGGCGGGCCGUGGCCUCCACUGCGGGCUCUGCUCGUGUGUGCCCGCCAGAGAACCAAACUCUGAAUGUUAGUGAUGUCUGAGAACUAUCUAAUAGUUAAAACUUUCAACAACGGAUCUCUUGGUUCUGGCAUCGAUGAAGAACGCAGCGAAAUGCGAUAAGUAAUGUGAAUUGCAGAAUUCAGUGAAUCAUCGAAUCUUUGAACGCACAUUGCGCCCUGUGGUAUUCCGCAGGGCAUGCCUGUUCGAGCGUCAUUUAACCACUCACGCCUAGCGUGGUAUUGGGGCACGCGGUCUCCGCGGCCCUCAAAAUGAGUGGCGGCGCCGGUGGGCUCUAAGCGUAGUACAUACUCCCGCUAUAGAGUUCCCCCGGUGGCUCGCCAGAACCCCCAAUUUUUACAGGUUGACCUCGGAUCAGGUAGGGAUACCCGCUGAACUUAAGCAUAUCAAUAAGCGGAGGA